RNAcentral lists this ribosomal RNA (492 nucleotides) under uncultured bacterium. Its description in RNAcentral is "partial 16S ribosomal RNA". It matches the Rfam family "Bacterial small subunit ribosomal RNA", at positions 29 to 507 of the family's 1533-position model. The record is from RNAcentral.
AGUGAACGCUGGCGGUAGGCCUAACACAUGCAAGUCGAACGGCAGCACAGUAAGAGCUUGCUCUUACGGGUGGCGAGUGGCGGACGGGUGAGGAAUACAUCGGAAUCUACUUUUUCGUGGGGGAUAACGUAGGGAAACUUACGCUAAUACCUCAUACGACCUACGGGUGAAAGCAGGGGAUCAUCAGACCUUUCGCGAUUGAAUGAGCCGAUGUCGGAUUAGCUAGUUGGCGUGGUAAAGGCCCACCAAGGCGACGAUCCGUAGCUGGUCUGAGAGGAUGAUCAGCCACACUGGAAGUGAGACACGGUCCAGACUACGACGGGAGGAAGAAGUGGGGAAUAUUGGAGAAUGGGCGAAAGCCUGAUCCAGCCAUACCGCGUGAGUGAAGAAGGCCUUCGGGUUGUAAAGCUCUUUUGUUGGGAAAGAAAAGCAGCAGGUUAAUACCACGCUGUUAUGACGGUACCCAAAGAAAAAGCACCGGCUAACUUCGUG